RNAcentral lists this ribosomal RNA (316 nucleotides) under uncultured bacterium. RNAcentral's name for it is "bacterial SSU rRNA". It matches the Rfam family "Bacterial small subunit ribosomal RNA", at positions 28 to 356 of the family's 1533-position model. The record is from RNAcentral.
GAUGAACGCUAGCGGCAGGCUUAAUACAUGCAAGUCAAGGGGGUAGCAAUACAACCGGCGCACGGGUGAGUAACGCGUACACAACAUACCAUAUACUGGGGUAUAGCUUCGGGAAACUGAAGGUAAUCCCCCAUAAUAUUGCGGGAAGGCAUCUUUCUGCAAUUAAAGUUUCGCGGUAUAUGAUUGGUGUGCGUUUGGAUUAGCUAGUUGGUAGGGUAACGGCCUACCAAGGCGACGAUCAAUAGCUGGCGUGAGAGCGCGACCAGCCACACUGGAACUGAGGACACGGUCCAGACUCCUACGGGAGGCAGCAGUA